Molecule: ribosomal RNA, 392 nt
Filed under: uncultured eukaryote
Lineage: Eukaryota
Description: bacterial SSU rRNA
Rfam family: Eukaryotic small subunit ribosomal RNA
Source: RNAcentral
CAAUAGCGUAUAUUAAAGUUGUUGCGGUUAAAGCUCGUAGUUGGAUUUCUGCGAGGACGACCGGUCCGCCCUCUGGGUGAGUAUCUGGCUGCUGGCUGCUCUUGUGAGACGUAGCUGCACUUGACUGUGUGGUGCGGUAUCCAGGACUUUACUUGAGGAAAUUAGAGUGUUUCAAGCAGGCAUACGCCUUGAAUACAUUAGCAUGGAAUAAUAAUCUAGGACUUCGGUUUUAUUUUGUUGGUUUCUAACACUGAAGUAAUGAUUGAUAGGGAUAGUUGGGGGUGCUAGUAUUGGCCGGCCAGAGGUGAAAUUCUUGGAUUCGGUCAAGACUAACUUAUGCGAAAGCAUUCACCAAGGAUGUCUUCUUUAAUCAAGAACGAAAGUUGGGGGAG